CCUACGGGAGGCAGCAGUGGGGAAUUUUGGACAAUGGGCGAAAGCCUGAUCCAGCCAUUCCGCGUGCAGGAUGAAGGCCCUCGGGUUGUAAACUGCUUUUGUACAGAACGAAAAGGUUUCUAUUAAUACUAGGAGCUCAUGACGGUACUGUAAGAAUAAGCACCGGCUAACUACGUGCCAGCAGCCGCGGUAAUACGUAGGGUGCAAGCGUUAAUCGGAAUUACUGGGCGUAAAGCGUGCGCAGGCGGUUAUAUAAGUCAGAUGUGAAAUCCCCGGGCUCAACCUGGGAACUGCAUUUGAGACUGUAUAGCUAGAGUACGGUAGAGGGGGAUGGAAUUCCGCGUGUAGCAGUGAAAUGCGUAGAUAUGCGGAGGAACACCGAUGGCGAAGGCAAUCCCCUGGACCUGUACUGACGCUCAUGCACGAAAGCGUGGGGAGCAAACAGGAUUAGAUACCCUGGUAGUCCACGCCCUAAACGAUGUCAACUGGUUGUUGGGUCUUAACUGACUCAGUAACGAAGCUAACGCGUGAAGUUGACCGCCUGGGGGAGGUACGGCCGCGAGGUUAGUAACGUACGAAGUAGAGUUAGUACGGCGUGAGACGUAGCCGACGGACGACGACGAGGGAGGAGGG
RNAcentral lists this ribosomal RNA (633 nucleotides) under uncultured bacterium. Its description in RNAcentral is "bacterial SSU rRNA". The stretch from base 1 to 542 matches the Rfam family "Bacterial small subunit ribosomal RNA", at positions 338 to 873 of the family's 1533-position model. The record is from RNAcentral.